GAUGAACGCUGGCGGCGUGCCUAAUACAUGCAAGUCGAGCGAACAGACGAGGAGCUUGCUCCUCUGACGUUUGCGGCGGACGGGUGAGUAACACGUGGAUAACCUACCUAUAAGACUGGGAUAACUUCGGGAAACCGGAGCUAAUACCGGAUAAUAUAUUGAACCGCAUGGUUCAAUAGUGAAAGACGGUUUUGAUGUUACUUAUAGAUGGAUCCGCGCCGCAUUAGCUAGUUGGUAAGGUAACGGCUUACCAAGGCAACGAUGCGUAGCCGACCUGAGAGGGUGAUCGGCCACACUGGAACUGAGACACGGUCCAGACUCCUACGGGAGGCAGCAGUAGGGAAUCUUCCGCAAUGGGCGAAAGCCUGACGGAGCAACGCCGCGUGAGUGAUGAAGGUCUUCGGAUCGUAAAACUCUGUUAUUAGGGAAGAACAAAUGUGUAAGUAACUAUGCACGUCUUGACGGUACCUAAUCAGAAAGCCACGGCUAACUACGUG
This 497-nucleotide ribosomal RNA is filed under the name uncultured bacterium. RNAcentral describes it as "partial 16S ribosomal RNA". It matches the Rfam family "Bacterial small subunit ribosomal RNA", at positions 28 to 507 of the family's 1533-position model. The record is from RNAcentral.